Molecule: ribosomal RNA, 207 nt
Filed under: uncultured bacterium
Lineage: Bacteria
Description: partial 16S ribosomal RNA
Rfam family: Bacterial small subunit ribosomal RNA
Source: RNAcentral
AGCGUAGACGGUGUGGCAAGUCUGGUGUGAAAGGCAUGGGCUCAACCUGUGGACUGCAUUGGAAACUGUCAUACUUGAGUGCCGGAGGGGUAAGCGGAAUUCCUAGUGUAGCGGUGAAAUGCGUAGAUAUUAGGAGGAACACCAGUGGCGAAGGCGGCUUACUGGACGGUAACUGACGUUGGGGCUCGAAAGCGUGGGGAGCAAACA